GUGAGCUGGCGGACGGCCUUCGAGCGCCACGCUCUCCGCGGGCGCUUGAGGAAACUCCGCCCACCGCACAGCCCGCAACGCCGCAAGGCGUGGGGCGAGAGCCUCGGCUCCGGAACAGAAACGGAACGCCCACUAGGCCCGUGACGUUGAGGCGUGCUAAGUCGCCGAGUAGGCUUGGUGGGAGCGGUGAAACGGCCGUCCUGCGGGGUGAAAGGGCGAGUAGGCGCCUAUGAGUACUGUGUGAGGCGCGGGUAGCCCGUUUAGCCGAAUGCCGUCUAAAACAGAAGGCGGGUUACGGCCAGCACAC
Molecule: RNase P RNA, 307 nt
Filed under: Candidatus Bathyarchaeota archaeon
Lineage: Archaea; Thermoproteati; Candidatus Bathyarchaeota
Description: RNase P RNA component
Rfam family: Archaeal RNase P
About the family: Ribonuclease P (RNase P) is a ubiquitous endoribonuclease, found in archaea, bacteria and eukarya as well as chloroplasts and mitochondria. Its best characterised activity is the generation of mature 5'-ends of tRNAs by cleaving the 5'-leader elements of precursor-tRNAs.
Source: RNAcentral